Molecule: long non-coding RNA, 3217 nt
Filed under: Homo sapiens (human)
Lineage: Eukaryota; Metazoa; Chordata; Mammalia; Primates; Hominidae
Description: non-protein coding lnc-MC5R-11:4
Source: RNAcentral
UUUUCAUAAUCAUGAAGAAGUGAAAGAUCUGAUGGAUGAAAAUUGCAUUUUGAAGACAGAUAUUGCUAUACUCAGACAGGAAAUAUGCACAAUGAAAAAUGACAACCUGGAAAAAGAAAAUAAAUAUCUUAAGGACAUUAAAAUUGCUAAAGAAACAAAUGCUGCCCUUGAAAAGUGUAUAAAACUCAAUGAGGAAAUGAUAACAAAAACAGCAUUCUGGUAUCAACAAGAGCUUAAUGAUCUCAAAGCUGAGAAUACAAGGCUCAAUUCUGAACUGUUGAAGGAAAAAGAAAGCAAGAAAAAACUGGAAGCUGAAAUUGAAUCUUAUCAGUCUAGACUGGCUGCUGCUAUAUAAGUAAACACAGUGAAAAUGUGAAAACAGAAAGAAACCUAAAACUUGCUUUAGAGAGAACACAAGAUAUUUCUGAGCAAGUAAAAAUGAGUUCUGAUAUUUCCGAAAUAGAAGAUAAGAAUUAGUUUCUUACUGAACAACUUUCUAAAAUGCAAAUUAAAUUCAAUACCUUAAAAGAUAAGUUCUGGCCGCUGCCGCUGCAGCCUGCUGGGCUGGAGGAAGUGGAGCUGGUGCCGUCCCUGCUCUCUUGCUGGGAAGCAACUGAGGGGGCGGCGCGGCAGGCCCCGGCAGCCGAAGAGGCUGGCAGGUGGCACUGUGGGGUGGGUGCUCCUGGUGAAAGGAGUCCACUGCAUGCGUGUGGGUGGAGUCCGGCCCCCGAGAGCCACCGACAUGAAGAAAGACGUGCAGAUCCUGGUGGUGGGAGAACCUAGAGUUGGGAAGACAUCAUUGAUUAUGUCUCUGGUCAGUGAAGAAUUUCCAGAAGAGGUUCCUCCCCGGGCAGAAGAAAUCACCAUUCCAGCUGAUGUCACCCCAGAGAGAGUUCCAACACACAUUGUAGAUUACUCAGAAGCAGAACAGAGUAAUGAACAACUUCAUCAAGAAAUAUCUCAGGCUAAUGUCGUCUGUAUAGUGUAUGCCGUUAACAACAAGCAUUCUAUUGAUAAGGUAACAAGUCAAUGGAUUCCUCUCAUAAAUGAAAGAACAGACAAAGACAGCAGGCUGGAGUGCAGUGGCGGGAUCUCGGCUCGCUACAACCUUCACCUCCCAGCCGCCUGCCUUGGCCUCCCAAAGUGCUAAGAUUACAGCCUCUGCCCGCCCGCCACCCCAUCUAGGAAGUGAGCAGCGUCUCUGCCUGGCUGCCCCGUCUGGGAAGUGAGGAGUGCCUCUGCCCACCCACCACCCCGUCUGGGAUGUGAGGAGCGCCUCUGCCCAGCCACCCCAUCUGGGAAGUGAGGAGCGCCUCUGCCCAGCCGCCACCCCGUCUAGGAAGUGAGGAUCGUCUCUGCCUGGCCGCCCAUUGUCUGGGAUGUGAGGAGCCCCUCUGCCCAGCCACCCUGAAUGGGAAGUGAGGAGCACCUCUGCCUGGCCGCCCCAUCUGGGAAGUAAGGAGCACCUCUGCCCGGUUGCCACCCCAUCUAGGAAGUGAGGAGCGUCUCUGCCUGACCGCCCAUCCUCUGGGAUGUGAGGAGCACCUCUGCCUGGCUGCCCCAUCUGGGAUGUGAGGAGCACCUCUGCCCUACUGACCAUCGUCUGGGAAGUGAGGAGUGCCUCUGCCCGGCCGCCCCAUCUGGGAGGUGAGGAGCGCCUCUGCCUGGCUGCCCUGCAUCUGGGAGGAAGUGAGGAGUGCCUCUGCCCGGCUGCCCCGUCUGGGAAGUGGGGAGCGCCUCUGUCCAGCCGCCCCAUCUGGGAAGUGAGGAGUGCCUCUGCCUGGCCACCACCCCAUCUAGGAAGUGAGGAGUGCCUCUGCCCGGCCGCCCUGUCUGGGAUUUGGGGAGCGCCUCUGCCCAGCCGCCCCAUCUGGGAAGUGAGGAGUGCCUCUGCCCAGCCGCCCUGUCUGGGAAGUGAGGAGUGCCUCUGCCCAGCUGCCCUGUCUGGGAAGUGAGGAGUGCCUCUGCCCGGCCGCCACCCUGUCUAGGAAGUGAGGAGUGCCUCUGCCCGGCCGCCACCCUGUCUAGGAAGUGAGGAGUGCCUCUGCCCAGCCGCCCCAUCUGGGAUGUGGGGAGUGCCUCUGCCAGGCUGCCCCGCCUGGAAGGUGAGGAGCGUCUCUGCCCGACUGCCCCAUCUGGGAAUUGAGGAGCGCCUCUGCCCGGCCGCCCCGUCUGGGAGGUGAGGAGCGCCUCUGCCUGGCCGCCACCCCGUCUGAGAGGUGAGGAGUGCCUCUGCCUGGCAGCCCCAUCUGGGAACUGAGGAGCGCCUCUGCCCAGCCGCCACCCCAUCUGGGAAGUGGGGAGCACCUCUGCCCGGCUGCCCUGCCUAGGAAGUGGGGAGCGCUUCUGCCCGGCCACCCCGUCUGGGAUGUGAGGAGUGCCUCUGCCCAGCCGCCCUGUCUGGGAUGUGAGGAGCGUCUCUGCCCAGCCGCCACCCCAUCUGGGAAGUGGGGAGCGCCUCUGCCUGGCCGCCCCAUCUGGGAAGUAGGGAGCGCCUCUGCCCGGCCACCCCAUCUGGGAAGUGAGGAGCGCUUCUGCCCGGCCGCCCCAUCUGGGAAGUGAGGAGCACCUCUGCCUGGCCGCCCUGUCUAGGAGGAAGUGAGGAGCGCCUCUGCCCGGUCACCCUGUCUGGGAGGUGAGGAGUGCCUCUGCCCGGCCGCCCCAUCUGGGAUGUGGGGAGUGCCUCUGCCUGGCCGCCCAUCAUCUGGGAAGUGGGGAGCACCUCUGCCCGGCUGCCCCAUCUGGGAAGUGAGGAGUGCCUCUCCCUGGCCACCCCAUCUGGGAAGUGGGGAGCGCCUCUGCCCGGCCACCCCGUCUGGGAAGUGAGGAGCGCCUCUGCCCGGCCACCCCGUCUGGGAAGUGGGGAGUGCCUCUGCCCGGCCACCCCAUCUGGGAAGUGAGGAGCACCUCUGCCCAGCUGCCCCACCUGGGAAGUGGGGAGCACCUCUGCCCGGCCGCCCAUAGUCUGGGAAGUGAGGAGUGCCUCUGCCCGGCCGCCCCAUCUGGGAUGUGGGGAGUGCCUCUGCCUGGCCGCCCAUCAUCUGGGAAGUGGGGAGCACCUCUGCCCGGCUGCCCCAUCUGGGAAGUGAGGAGUGCCUCUCCCUGGCCACCCCAUCUGGGAAGUGGGGAGCGCCUCUGCCCAGCCACCCCGUCUGGGAAGUGAGGAGCGCCUCUGCCCGGCCACCCCGUCUGGGAAGUGGGGAGUGCCUCUGCCCGG